CGGGGCGGUGGGGAAGGAGGAGGGUGGAGGAGCAAGUACAGGUGGCUUUGUUGACUGAUCAGUAAACCGAUGUCAUGGGACAAGUGUCUCCCUCAACAGGAAAUGCAGGUCCGGCGUCAUAGCUGAAGUUCAAGAACGCCGACAAUCCGCUAAGACAGGCUAACAGAAUAGCCUCUGGGUUCCAAGGCCGCGAAGGAGGCGGGUGGGAGAGGCCCCACUGCCGGGUCAGAGAAACGCUCCUCACCCCAGUCCAACAGCGGCACAGAAAAGGAAAGUGAAAUUGUCUGCAGGAGACAAAAGGAAAGCCCUGUGGACAGGAGCCCCAGGCCCUGCUACUUUCCCCACCAGCUCAGGGGAGAGACGACGUUGCUGGGAUGAACAGUUGGGAAAGGAGGAACAAGGACGAGGCUGACUUGACGUGCCCCGAGCAUCAUCUCCACAUUCACCGUGUUGUCACAUCUAGAUGAUACAAACGCAUCGCGACCGCAGACUUUCCCCUCGGUCAUCUGGUAAGGCAGGUAAAAUGGGGACUAUGAUCCUUCUUUGCAGGUGAGGAAUUGUAAACCUGCUCCAACCUGCCUCACCCUCAAACGUGUUUCCGGGUAAAUUAGCCACGGAGGAUACAAGACAUCUUUGCAAAUUGAUGACUUGGAAAGAAAGAAGAGAAACUCCAUUUUAAAAAACUAGUGUUCAUGCGGGUCCGGCAGGGACUCAGUCCUGUAGGUGCGUUAUCUCAAGCAAUCCUCCCCAAACCCCCUGAGCUGGGGGCUUCAAUGUGGAGAAGAGGCAGAGGACAGAGAAGAAAGAUGCUCUUGUGGGCAGUCAGAGGCAGAGAGGGGACUACAAGGGACUCUGUCUGAAGCUAAGGUCGCUACACCUACUGUUGGGAGAAGUUGAAAUAUGGGCGACUUCUGAUUUGCUUUUGGAUUCUGAGACCCAGCUACCGCCGUGUCAAGAGGUGGUGUGACAGCAGUCACAGCUGUGGCAUGUGGUGGAGAUAUGCCCUGGGCCAGCAGCUGUUGCUAGUCUCAGAACAAUGGCCUCGUUAUUCUGCUCCGAAGGUUUGCUCGCAGUGGAGACUGACUGCCAGCGAUCACACCUGUUCAUGAUUGACCUGGUCAUGGCUGAGCCCGGCUGGAGGAGCUGGACGGUGACAGGAACCCUAGGUCCCCCUAAUGCCACCUCGGAGGAAGCCCAGCCCGUGGUCUCUGUGGCUUGGGGAACAUGAGCUAACUUGGAAGUCACUGGGAGGUCCAGGUAGGACCAGGCACGGCACUCAGAUGCUCCCUCUGCCCGAGCCUGAGUCCAGAGUGAGGCUUCGUACAAGGAGGGUGGCCGGGAGAGAAGAGGAAGAGAAAGGCAGGAGGGAUUCCAGCGAAAGAGAAGGAAGGGCCCACCGGCCGCCAUGUAUGCCUGCCCUCUUGGACCAUCUGGAAAGAAUGAAGAUUGUGCUGCUUUCAUGCCCCAUGCAGCCAGGCACGCCAGGAACAGUGAGGAGAGAGGAAGGGCGUGCGUUUACGGACGGGCAGUCUUCUUUGAGGGACUUGCUGCCUGCUGAGAUGGGUCUCUUCAACUCUCCCUCCUCCUCUGGGACCCCAGGAGGUGAGUGAUUGUCAAAUCUCAGCCUCCUCUCUCAGAUCUGCGCCAAUCUGCCCUCUCCUCUUUUCUCCCUGCUGCUGUUCAGGCCGCCCCGCUCUCUCUCAUCAGGACCAUUGCUUUGGAUAAACUUGGCUCCUCGGCUCUCAUCACUCCAUCAUCCAGGUUCCAUUCUUGGCUCAGAUCUCGGCAAGUUACUUAAAUUCCAGCUUAUGCCUCAGUUUCCUCUUUGGGUGGUUCUGAGGCUUGAGUGAGGUAGUAUGUGCCAAGGUCUUCGAGCAGAGCCCCGCACACAGCAAGUGCCAAAUGCCUGUCGGCCGUUUUUAGGAUUGCCGUUGUUUUCCCUGACAGACCGGAGCUAGCCAGCUGUUUACAAAUGUAUCUAAUCUUGUCACCUUCUGCUUUUAAAUCCAUAAAGGAGAAUUGUUCUUCAAAUGGUGCUGCAAAAGGACCAGGUUAGAUCUGCCCUGAUAACCUACACCGAAAAUGUCUGUGGAUGUGAGAGAGAGGUCAGAAUCAAAAUGACUCCAAAAAACAUGGAGAGAAAAAUAUUUAAUUGAUCUCAGCUCUGGGAAGGAAUUACUGGCAUCAAAUUAACAGAGGGAACUGUUGACGAAAAUAAUCCAUAACCAAUCUAUAAAUGAAAAUUUGGCUCUGGAGGUCAGAAGUCCAAAACGAGCCGCAAAGGGGCUAAAAUCAAGGUGUUGGCAGGAAGCUCCAGGGGAGAAUCCUCGCCUCCUCCAGCUUCUAGAGGCUCAUGGCUGCCUCCUUCCAGUCUCUGCUUCUGCUGUCACAUUGCCGUCUUCUAACUGUGACCCUCCCGCCUCCCUCUUAGGACAACCCUUGUGAUUCCAUUGGGCCCAUCUGGAGAAUCCAGGAAAUUCCCAUCUCCAGAUCCCUGAUUUCAUCCCAGUUGUGAAGUCCCUGUUGCCAGGUGAGGUAAUGUACUUGCAAGGCCAGGGAUGAGGACAUGGACAUCUUUGGGGGGGGUCAUUAUUCUGUCUACUCCACCCACAAAGUAAGGAGAAAAUGACACGACCGACUCUGGGGGUAACUAAAGGAACGGAGGUGCGUCAAUGGAGCGUGGCGUCUGAUUGUGCCUGUGGGUCUGUGGGAUAGCUCUUAAAAAGUGCAAACUUGGGCCGAAAUAGUUCCAUGCCCACAUCAUUUGAUGAAAGAGAACAUCAACGUCUGAAUGCAGGAACCAAAAUCUUCUAGAACCGAAUCCAGCCCAACUGUGUCCUCCCAGGGUGACGGAAAGAAUACACCUCUCUCUCUGCAUUUUCCACCUGCCGAGGCCGAGGGCCCAGAGUGGAUCAGAACGCACGGAGGCGGGAAUCCAUGGGUUUGGUGCGCCAUCGUCCAGGUCCUUGGCUUCCUGAACAUCCAGCCUGGUUCGGGUAGAGAAUGUGGAGGAUGUUGCCAGUGUGCUUGUCGGUGGUCGCUCCCAGACACCUGGUGUCUUAAGGAGACCUGUGGCGGGGCUGUUCUGAGAUGGAGCAGGACGGGGUUCUCUCUCCAGGAGCCCCGUUAUGGGCCAUGGGGAGCAGUGGUCCCGAGCUUGGUAAGAGAUGCACAUUUCUCGGUGGACAAAGAUGCUGCCGUGGUUCACUUGCCAUUGGGGGCUUUUUUCUAUUAGUAAGGAUGCAUUUGCCCUGAUCCCUUCACACUCUCUAAUUUAGAAGUAAGGGACAACCCCUCCCAACUUGGGCUGGUGCACAUCUCGGGCCAGGAAACGGGACAGUGACGUGACCCUCUGGAAGGAUGCCAAGCUCACGUCAGGUGCCUUGUGAGGCAGCACCCAGGGACGCAGAGGGAAGAAAGAACAGGGGCGUGAGGAGUCCUGUGGGAUGAGCUGCUCCCCAGGAGAAUCCAGAUGGCUCUCCUGCAUUUCAGAUCCCUGGGGUGAGGCAAUCAAUGUCAGCGGUCAGAUCAUUUAACAACUGGACGUCUUGCCCACAUGUCUUCACCUGGCUGGAGUUGAAUACGGCUGUCCCAUUUCCAUGCGGCUUUCCGACACCCCACGGUCCUGCUGGCCCACCCACCCAUGGGCCCUUUCACUGGGACCAUGAACACAUUUCCUUCUUCAAGACAACACGAGAAACUCUUGUUCUCAACUCCGAAAUCCAAAAUAAACAAAUAAGCUUUUCCUGUAACCCAUUUGACGGUAAGAUCUGACCUGAUCUGUGACUCAUUUGGUGGCAGUUUCUGACCUGAAAUGAUUGUAAAAAUGUUAUUUGGGCGCCAGCCCCUUGGCGUAAUGGUUAAGCUUGUGCUCUCCACUUCAGUGAUCCGGGGUUUGCAGGUUUGGAUCCCAGGUGUGGACCUACACAACACUCAUCAAGCCAUGCUGUGACGGUGUCCCACAUACAAAAUAGAGGAAUACUGGCACAGAUGUGAGCUCAGGGCCAAUCUUCCUCAAGCAAAAAGAGGAAGAUUGGCAACAGAUGUUAGCUCAGGGCCAAUCUUCCUCACCAAAUAAAUAAAUAAAUACAUACAUACAUACAUACAUACGUUUUAUUUGUACCAUUUAUUGAUCCCGCUCAAGGUGAAAAUCUACGUAUCUUCUGUUGCAGAAAUAUUAACAGAGCUCUGUGCCAGACCUGCUGGGAAGUGGGGACUGUCCAGGGCGUGGGACAAUUUACCUUCCUGAAAUCCAAAGAUUAGGAAGAGCUCUGCCCCAAGUGUGUGAAGGGGGAUGCUCAAGGAAGCUAGCAAAGGCUCACUAGGUGGAAAGCCCAGCCAACCAGCUCUGCUCCCCUGAUUUCCAUAUGUAAACCCCGUCCAUCGGUCCCCAGGACAGCCAUUAGGUGAGUGACUUCGAGUACCCCCAUUUUACAGAAGAGAAAACUGAGAUACACAGAGUUAAGUAAGUUGCCCAAGGAGCCAAGGUUCGUGCAAAAAUUGGGAGAGGAUCCUUUAUCUCGAGCAAGUUGAGACAGAAAUGAAGGAAGGGUGGGAACUCGCUGGAUUUGCCAGGAGGAAGGUCACGGAUGUUAGAUUCAGCCGGAGUAAGGCAUGAGCCCAGAGGAGCAGUGCACACCUGUGCCCCGGGCAGCUUCGCUCAGCCUCCCUGAGCCCCCGUGCCCUCCGUGUGCAGAGGGUCAUCAUCAACCCCACGUUUCUGAGGACACAGUCCCUGCGCAGCCCCUGAGAGCAGCCGACACACAGCAGCUCUGCUCCCGGCUUCGGCUCUGCAGGGAGACUGGCCAGCCUGGAUCUGACUAGGACGCCUCUCACUGUCACCACUGCAUCACUGGCUCUCGUUACCUUUCCCUCUCAGUCCGCCAAGGCCAUCUGAAGGUGCCUCUUGGAUCUCCUCGGCAAGUUUGCCUCAAAGCAUCAAAAACAGCGAGGAUGAGACUGGAGCCUCGAGGAGGAGCCAGCCCAGCUGAUGCCUUAAUUUUAG
Long non-coding RNA from Equus caballus (horse), 5005 nucleotides. Lineage: Eukaryota; Metazoa; Chordata; Mammalia; Perissodactyla; Equidae. The record is from Ensembl.